This is a small nucleolar RNA of Nannospalax galili (Upper Galilee mountains blind mole rat), 79 nucleotides long. The record is from Ensembl. Lineage: Eukaryota; Metazoa; Chordata; Mammalia; Rodentia; Spalacidae.
UGCGUAUGAUGACACCUGGGUAUGCUGCAAACUCCUGACUGUGCAGUGGGGAGGCCAACCUUGGAGAGCUGAGCGUGCG